UACAGAGGUCCCGAGCGUUGUUCGGAUUUACUGGGCGUAAAGGGCGCGUAGGUGGCGGGACAAGCGUGCGGUGAAAGCUUGGGGCUCAACCCCGAGUCGGCCGUGCGAACUGUCUUGCUUGAGCACUGUAGAGGCAGGCGGAAUUCCGGGUGUAGCGGUGGAAUGCGUAGAGAUCCGGAAGAACACCGGUGGCGAAGGCGGCCUGCUGGGCAGUAGCUGACACUGAGGCGCGACAGCGUGGGGAGCAAACAGG
This 253-nucleotide ribosomal RNA is filed under the name uncultured bacterium. RNAcentral's name for it is "partial 16S ribosomal RNA". It matches the Rfam family "Bacterial small subunit ribosomal RNA", at positions 524 to 776 of the family's 1533-position model. The record is from RNAcentral.